This 2129-nucleotide unclassified non-coding RNA is filed under the name Daphnia pulicaria. RNAcentral describes it as "cap-specific mRNA (nucleoside-2'-O-)- methyltransferase 2-like, transcript variant X3". Lineage: Eukaryota; Metazoa; Arthropoda; Branchiopoda; Diplostraca; Daphniidae. The record is from RNAcentral.
AUACUAUAAUCGGUACACACUACACAGUUGACAGUACACAGAGGCGGAGGCGACAGUUCGACAGAGCACUCAGAGCAGGGCAGCAGGCUCCGAUCGACCGAUAAGCUGUCAAAUCAAACUCAGGUUCCACGGCUUUGGUAAUACUAAUACCAGUUAAUACCCAUAUGGGUGAAAUGUGGUGAUAGUGGUGAUACACAUACGUCAUCGAUACCAUUUACAAUGGAAGCAGAAAUUGAACUACACUUUUUAAAAAAAUUCCAAUUUAAACAACUUGUACAAAGUUCUUGGUCCUGCAGAAAUCCAUUCGGUAAUUGUUCAUGGAAGAUUCCAGAAUUGGAAAGUUUGAAAUAUCAUUUAAAUUGUACCAAAGGUCUUUUAAGUCAUAUGGAAGCAUCAACAUGGCAUGACCAUACAAAUUACACCAACCAUGCAGCUGAUAUUUUCCACAAAGUUAAAUGUGAUAUUAAUCCAGAGCUAUUAACACAGGCCUGGUUGAAGUUUUAUGAAUGUCUGGCUCAGUUUGAUUUAGUUGGUGAACUACCUCAGCAUAGUUCUGUGUUUCAAAGUGUUCAUUUGUGUGAAGCUCCAGGAGCCUUUAUUACAUCCUUGAAUCAUUUUCUUCAAUUACGCUAUCCAUUUUUGGAGCUGAAAUGGUCGGCAAUAACUCUGAAUCCCUACUAUGAAGGAAAUUUUAGGAAAUCAAUGAUUGGAGAUGAUCGUUUCAUUUCUAGUACCUUGAAACACUGGAAUUUCGGAUUUGAUGAUACAGGAAACAUAAUGGAAUGGUGUAAUGUUAAAGCCAUGUUGAAAAAGCCUCAUCAUCAAGUGAAUCUUGUAACUGCAGAUGGAAGUGUUGAUUGCGCGGAUAAUCCGGGUGAACAAGAAAACUAUCUCGCACCUUUACAUUGGUGUGAAACAAUAUCAGCCUUAUUAAUAUUAAGCAAUGGUGGUUCAUUUAUUUUGAAAAUGUUCACCCUGUUCGAACAUACUUCGGUUUCUCUUCUGUAUUUACUAAUGAUGUCAUUUGAAGAACUUCACGUAUUCAAACCAUGCACAAGUAAAGAAGGAAAUUCGGAAGUAUACAUAAUUGCACUUCGCUACAUUAAAACGGAACAUGUGGAUAACUUGUUGCGCAUAAUUCAGUUACAGGUUUAUGAAAGGAAAACAGAUGUUUCUUUGAAUGCUUUGUUUUCUUUAGACGAAAUUCCCGAAGCCUUCUUACAUGACAUCAUUAGCUGCGCGACGCUGUUCAAGAAACACCAGGAACACGCUAUUUUGCGGAACCUGACACUUUAUAAUAUCCCGUUCGAAGAAAAAGAGUUGGAAAUCAUCAAAAAGAAAAUUGCAUAUCGUUACAUGCAAAAGUACUGCUUGCAACGAAUUCCACUUUCAAAGCAAAUCGUGACCACUAAAAUUCAAAAAUUGACAUUUUUGGAUAUUCAGCUUGGCCGCAUUAAGCGUCAUAACAUAAUGUCUUCCUUCUUUAAUCUAAACGAAGUUUUACACUUACAAUCAGAACUGAUCGAAAUCAAUGAUCUUCUUGAAAACUUAAAAAUUCGAAAGUGGAUCAAUGUGGAAAAAGAAGAUUGGCAACAAAACAUAAAAUAUAUCCACGGGAAAUCCUAUGAUAUUUUACGAAACUCAAAAUUUUGUCAUGAGCAUAUUUUUUAUGUUUUUGAAAGCAUUGCCAACACAUCUUCAGAACCAAAAUUCAACUCUUCCUUUUGUAAUGCACUGCUCCAAAGAGAACAAACUAGUUUACUUAAUACUUUCUUAGAUUCUAGUUCCACGAUUCGCGAAGGGGAGGAUUUUGAACUAAAAAAACCUGUAUUGUCUAGAUUUGCUGUGGCUACUGUGUGGAUCAUGUCUCUUCUAUUUUCCCAAGUUAUAAAGAAGUACCCGAAAUCAUGAAAUGGAUGCGAGUUCUCGAUCAAGAAUUACUGAAUUUUGUCGACAUUUCAACUCUUUGCCGGGGCUCAUUUUCUGAUUUGAUAUUACUUUAUAACACGAAGUUGCUCUUGCAGUUUUCCUUGUCUUCAACAAGUACUAUGUCUGCUUAUUGAACACGAAGCAUUUCCUAAUUGAAUUUGAAGGUGUGAUCUAUUUUAAUAAAAUUAAGAAAAUCAUUA